AUUGAACGCUGGCGGCAUGCCUAACACAUGCAAGUCGAACGGCAGCGCGGGGGCAACCCUGGCGGCGAGUGGCGGACGGGUGAGGAAUGCAUAGGAAUCUGCCCGGUUGUGGGGGAUAACGUAGGGAAACUUACGCUAAUACCGCAUACGACCUUCGGGUGAAAGUGGGGGACCUUCGGGCCUCACGCGAUCGGAUGAGCCUAUGCCCGAUUAGCUAGUUGGCGGGGUAAGAGCCCACCAAGGCGACGAUCGGUAGCUGGUCUGAGAGGAUGAUCAGCCACACUGGGACUGAGACACGGCCCAGACUCCUACGGGAGGCAGCAGUGGGGAAUAUUGGACAAUGGGCGCAAGCCUGAUCCAGCAAUGCCGCGUGUGUGAAGAAGGCCUUCGGGUUGUAAAGCACUUUUGUUCGGGAAGAAAUCCGUGAGGUUAAUACCCGUACGGGAUGACGGUACCGAAAGAAUAAGCACCGGCUAACUUCGUG
This 484-nucleotide ribosomal RNA is filed under the name uncultured organism. RNAcentral describes it as "bacterial SSU rRNA". It matches the Rfam family "Bacterial small subunit ribosomal RNA", at positions 29 to 507 of the family's 1533-position model. The record is from RNAcentral.